Molecule: ribosomal RNA, 274 nt
Filed under: uncultured bacterium
Lineage: Bacteria
Description: partial 16S ribosomal RNA
Rfam family: Bacterial small subunit ribosomal RNA
Source: RNAcentral
AUACGGGGGGUGCAAGCGUUAUUCGGAUUUAUUGGGCGUAAAGAGCGCGUAGGCGGCUUGGUAAGUCAGAUGUGAAAGCCCGGGGCUCAACCCCGGAAGUGCAUUUGAAACUAUCAGGCUUGAGUAUGGGAGAGGGAAGUGGAAUUCCUGGUGUAGAGGUGAAAUUCGUAGAUAUCAGGAUGAACACCGGUGGCGAAGGCGACUUCCUGGACCAAUACUGACGCUGAGGCGCGAAGGCGUGGGGAGCAAACAGGAUUAGAUACCCGAGUAGUCC